Molecule: long non-coding RNA, 1721 nt
Filed under: Neodiprion lecontei (redheaded pine sawfly)
Lineage: Eukaryota; Metazoa; Arthropoda; Insecta; Hymenoptera; Diprionidae
Description: uncharacterized LOC124294845, transcript variant X1
Source: RNAcentral
GUUCCAGGUGGAACGACGUCUUUCUCUGGCGGAUGAUUCGGAGUGUCGGGGAGUCCCAGUAUCGGUGCUGGAAAUUAUACGCCCAGAUGUUCGCGGAAGAAGAGACUUUGAAGCUACGACUGUCGAACAAUUGUUGAAGAAAAAAUCAGUAUCGGCAAUAAGCAGUACGUUCUUCGACUGUCGAGCAACGCCAAAAUACAAAGAACAAGAAAAGGGUGCUGGGAAGCUUCCGAAAUGGCCGGCCGAACAAAUUUUCACCAGGGUUGGGACGGAAGAUUGAUACUCGGCGCAUGUCAAGGCCGGUGACUGAAGAUUAAUAAAAAUUGCUAAGCUCAUGGACUUUAGCGUAUGAAUAAGGUCGCGGGAAGAAAUUGCAGCUUCUAAAAUUUGUCCAGACCCAGCAAACCAUGACGAAAAAUAAUUCAGGAUCAUGGACCACAGUUUUGCUUGAGGUUAAAAAUGGAGGAAAAUCCACGGACGGAUCGUUUUUCAUCUCUUUUCACCUUAUCUCUCGACUUCGACGAACGAAUAGAUUGCAGAACGACGCUGAUAUAUGGAUGGCGAGAUUUUAUCCCCGUAUGCCGUUGGCCGCAUCAGUUGACGAUGAGCCGGGGGAUGAAAACUGGGAAAGAAUAUUAUGUGGAAACGAGAAUUAUGCCGACGGUGAAUCAGCCGCGGUUGAAAGGUCGAUUCCCAGUAAAGGAAAAAGAAGAAGAACAAAAAGAAGAAGAUUACGAAGCGUCAAAGAGUGGACAAGAGGCUUGACUUCUGAUACUAAGUCCGAGAACUUUGAAGAGAAACUUCAAGGAGCCACAUAACUUGACCUCAUCCGAGGUGAUACACGGAUAGUCUGGAAAUUGUAAAAGUUUCAAGGAAUGCGUUGGUGCCCAAUUACACAGAGACAGACUGCGUACGUCAGCAUGAGCGAGGAUACAUCGUGUACUAUACCAAAAUUUCUGAAACGACCCACACACUUGGAUGAAUUUUUCCAACAAAAAUGAAUCUGCCUUGUCCAAAUAUGACUUGCAUGAAACUGGAGUGAAAAAUGUAUACCAUCAGUAAUGUCUCGUGUGCAGAAGUUCUCGAUACUGAGGCUUCAGAAUUUGGGUGGAAUUUCAGAACUGCUGAAAGGAUUGCACGGGUUAAUUUUAUUUUUGGCAAAUUUUGAUGAGUGCUGAGUUUGAUUCAUUCGAACACAAAGUCGACAUCAUUUAGCCAGAGGAAUCCGUGGCGCAUGGUCUUGAUAUGCUGCAAACAACGAAACGAAAACUAUCGCCGGAAGACGAGAAAUUUGAACCAGGUUUUAAGAGAGAUGGAAAAAGAAAAUCACAGCUCCAUAGCAACAACGUUCCAGUUUAGGUUCAUUAUCAUUUUAUUUAAUAUGCUAUAAUUCUAAGACUAGUGUUCAAGUAUCAGUGUAUAGUACUCUGACAGUAGCUUAUUGGACUGUUAAAUAAGAAUAGAUGUGAAAAGAUAAUGAAGAAUCACGUACAAAAUCUGACAACUGUGAAUAGAAAAAAAAUGCAAUUUACAUUAUACUGUGGACAAUGAAUAAAUGUUGAAUAUAAUGGUUAUUGCUGAUCUUUGUGAGCACAAUUCGACUUGCGGUCAGCAAUCAGGUGCAAAACACCUCUGCAGAUUACAAUGUAUGUGUAUGGUAUUGUAUCAUGAGUAAUGAAUGUACCUGAUAUUGAACAAUAAAAUAAAUUAAUUUUCACGUA